Molecule: ribosomal RNA, 508 nt
Filed under: uncultured bacterium
Lineage: Bacteria
Description: bacterial SSU rRNA
Rfam family: Bacterial small subunit ribosomal RNA
Source: RNAcentral
GAUCAUGGCUCAGGAUGAACGCUGGCGGCGUGCCUAAUACAUGCAAGUCGAACGCAUACUUCGGUAGUGAGUGGCGAACGGGUGAGUAACACGUAGGUAACUUACCUCUAAGACGAGGAUAACGACUGGAAACGGUCGCUAAAACUGGAUAGGAUCAUUUGAGGCAUCUCGAAUGAUUUAAAGGGGCUUUCAAGCCACACUUAGAGAAAGGCCUGCGGCGCAUUAGCUAGUUGGUGGGGUAGAGGCCUACCAAGGCGAUGAUGCGUAGCCGGACUGAGAGGUCGAACGGCCACAUUGGGACUGAGACACGGCCCAAACUCCUACGGGAGGCAGCAGUAGGGAAUCUUCCGCAAUGGACGAAAGUCUGACGGAGCAACGCCGCGUGAGUGAAGAAAGGUUUUCGGAUCGUAAAACUCUGUUGUCAGAGAAGAACAAGUUGGAGAGUAACUGCUCCAGCCUUGACGGUAUCUGACCAGAAAGCCACGGCUAACUACGUGCCAGCCGCCGC